CUGAGUUACACUCAAACCCUGUUUAAGAAUCUGUUGCUUCGGAGGCGCCCCUCGGGAGGGGAUGUGCUUCGGCCGCCUCCAAAAGCACUUUAACUCUUUAACUAUGAUUUAUCUGUUUUCAAAAAAAAAAAAAAUCA
This 137-nucleotide unclassified non-coding RNA is filed under the name soil metagenome. RNAcentral's name for it is "partial internal transcribed spacer 1". The record is from RNAcentral.